RNAcentral lists this ribosomal RNA (486 nucleotides) under uncultured bacterium. RNAcentral describes it as "partial 16S ribosomal RNA". It matches the Rfam family "Bacterial small subunit ribosomal RNA", at positions 28 to 507 of the family's 1533-position model. The record is from RNAcentral.
GAUGAACGCUGGCGGCGUGCUUAACACAUGCAAGUCGAACGGGAUCCAGGGAGUGCUUGCACUUUUUGGUGAGAGUGGCGAACGGGUGAGUAACACGUGAGUAACCUGUCCUUUUCUUUGGGAUAAGCUCCUGAAAGGGUGUUUAAUACCUUAUGUUCUGUCUGCCUCGCAUGGGGUGGGUGGGAAAGAUUUGUUUCGGUAAGGGGUGGGCUCGCGGUCUAUCAGCUUGUUGGUGGGGUGAUGGCUUACCAAGGCUUUGACGGGUAGCCGGCCUGAGAGGGUGGUCGGUCACAUUGGGACUGAGAUACGGCCCAGACUCCUGCGGGAGGCAGCAGUGGGGGAUAUUGCACAAUGGGCGCAAGCCGGAUGCAGCGACGCCGCGUGGGGGAUGAAGGCCUUCGGGUUGUAAACUUCUUUUGCUCUGAACAAGGCACAUCUUUGGGGUGUGUUGAGUGUAGGGGUUGAUUAGCGCCGGCUAACUACGUG